Podarcis raffonei (Aeolian wall lizard) is the source of this 1787-nucleotide RNA transcript. It is a transcript of the gene named H-2 class II histocompatibility antigen, E-S beta chain-like, with no coding region annotated. Lineage: Eukaryota; Metazoa; Chordata; Lepidosauria; Squamata; Lacertidae. The transcript has 8 exons. The record is from RefSeq and is a predicted model, not a curated record.
CAACAACAAUGGAGACAUCAGAAGCAGCUGAGAAGCCAAAGAGGAACUUGCAGGUCGAGCGAGAGCAGAGAGAGCCCUUGAUAAUGCUCUUUCCAGGAGUUCCCUGCCUGGCGACCGAUGACGCUGCCUGGGCUCGGAGGCGGAUUGGACGCUCGCGGGGCGGAGAGGUGGAGUGGGCGGGGCCUGCAGGAGUUUCCCCCGGGGCUGAGCGGAGAAAGUCCCAUUUGGGGCGAAGAAGAGAGAAGGAUGGGGGGCUCCGGCGCUGCGCCUUUGGCCUUUGGGGGGCUCCUGCUGGGGAUGGGGGCGCUGGUGGUCUCUUCUUUGGAGGGGCUGGGCGUGGAGGCGCCUCCAGAGCAUUUCCUGUUCCAGGGGAAGGCCGAGUGCCACUUCUUCAACGGGACGCAGCGGAUCCGCUACCUAGAAAGGCACUUCUUCGACCGGCAGGAGCUCUGCUACUUCGACAGCGACCGAGGGAAGUUUGUGGCUGUGGCUGAACUGGCGGAGUCCCAAGCCAAGAUAUGGAACCAGGACAAGGCCUUCCUGCAGAGCAGGAAGGCCGCCGUGGAUUCCUUCUGCCGGUACAACUACGGGAUCUUGGAUACCUUCUCCCAGUCUCUGCGCGUCCAGCCCCAGGUGAAGAUCACCCCCACAGACAACGAUGAAUCUUCACCACACAACACUCUGCUGAUUUGCACCGUGAACCGCUUCUUCCCUGCGGGGAUCGAGAUCAAGUGGUUCAGGAACGGGAAGGAGGAGCCCAAAGUGUGGACCACGGACCUCAUCCGGAACGGGGACUGGACCUUCCAUAUUGAGGUGAUGCUGGAGACAAAGCCAGAACGUGGAGACGUCUACACCUGCCAGGUGGAGCACGCCAGCUUCGAAGGCCCCGUCACGGUGAAAUGGGAGCCACAGUCGGACUCUGCCAGGAGCAAGAUGUGGACGGGGAUUGUGGGGAUUGUGCUGGGGCUGGUCUUUGGGGCCACUGGACUCGCCCUUUACUUGAAGAACAAGAAAGGGCAAGCUGUUCCUCAGCCUGCAGGACUCAUCAGUUAGACUUCGCUGCUCCAUCAGGAUCCGGGGAUGUGGAUAAGCUCUGUUCUUCCUGCCAGUUGCCCUCUGUCCAUGCUCAGAGGGUGGAAACCUCCUUGGAAGGUGGAUGGAAGGAGUCACAGAUCAAGAACGACAGUGUCCACCCCUCCCCCACCUCUGUUGCUUGCUUGUCAUUUGGGGAAAGUUUCUUUUUCUGUUUCCCUUUCCGCUUGUUGAUUGCAAGUUAGCGCAACUUGAUUACUUCUUUGCACCUCUCUGCUAGAGAAUUUAUGCUUUGAAUCUCCCUGGAGGAGCCUGAGAAGUCCCUGAAAACAGCCAUGAAUCUUGUCAGACUGCCAGGACUGGUCCUUCAAGCCCUGGUGGGGACCCUGAUCCUUGAGAUUCCUCAUUGCAGGAGGUUGGGCUAGAUGACCUUGGGGUCCCCUCCAAUUCUACAAUUCCAUAAAAUGGUGAAUGGCCAAAUAUAUUUAUUGAAAGCUUCUCCCCACAGCCCUGUGACACGGAGGAUGAGUCCCGUUUUCGGAGAGAGUCCCUGCUUCCCACCCUCACCCUGCUGACUUAAUCUCCUCAGGGAGAGGAGUUUGUUAAUUUCUCUGUAAAUAUCCUGCUCUUUUGUGAUCUUAAGGAUCAGCCCUCUGACUGGGAUCCUCACCUGACCCACUUCAAGGCAGAAGCAGAUUUCACAGCCUUGAGAGUAUUUCCUCUGAGUCGCACCAGUGAAGAUUUUCUUCAGCUUC